CCAGACUCCUACGGGAGGCAGCAGUGAGGAAUAUUGGUCAAUGGCCGAGAGGCUGAACCAGCCAAGUCGCGUGAGGGAUGACGGCCCUACGGGUUGUAAACCUCUUUUGUCGGGGAGCAAAGAGAGUCACGUGUGACUCAUUGAGAGUACCCGAAGAAAAAGCAUCGGCUAACUCCGUGCCAGCAGCCGCGGUAAUACGGAGGAUGCGAGCGUUAUCCGGAUUUAUUGGGUUUAAAGGGUGCGCAGGCGGAGGUGCAAGUCAGCGGUCAAAUUGCGGGGCUCAACCCCGUACUGCCGUUGAAACUGCAUCCCUUGAGUGCGCGGAACGUAUGCGGAAUUCGUGGUGUAGCGGUGAAAUGCUUAGAUAUCACGAAGAACUCCGAUUGCGAAGGCAGCAUACGGCAGCGCUACUGACGCUGAAGCUCGAAGGCGCGGGUAUCGAACAGGAUUAGAUACCCGGGUA
This 463-nucleotide ribosomal RNA is filed under the name uncultured bacterium. RNAcentral describes it as "bacterial SSU rRNA". It matches the Rfam family "Bacterial small subunit ribosomal RNA", at positions 331 to 792 of the family's 1533-position model. The record is from RNAcentral.